CCCCGCCGCUGCCGCCGCUGCUGCCGCCGGGCGGGGCCUGCGCCGCCGCUCCCCCCGUCCCCGCCCCUCCAUGGCGGAGCGCGGCGCGGGGCCUGGCAGAGGCACGGGGCGGCACGCGGCAGCACUGCGCCUGAGGAGACGGGUCGGCGAGGCGCGGCCCAGGGCUGCGGGCAGGACUCGCGCUGGCAGGACCGGAGCGCCUCAGCGCGCGUUUAAGUACCUCAGCGCAGGGGUAUUUAAACGGCAGCAAACGGAGAAAGGAGGGAGAAGCAAGGCGGAGGUCAGGGCUGCAAAACCAGGUCUCCAAACUACGAGUAAUCGCUGUACAAAUGCUUUACAACUGGAGACAAGCUUUCCACAGAGCUCGAUGGCAUCCAUACUCUUCCCAUGUCUGAUGCACAAGUCAGUCUGGAACUCUUCCAGUUUCUUUUUUCUGCCAGGUUGUCUAAAUAGCAGAACAGCAAUGUGCUCAAUGAAGAGGAUACAACACAUGCAUCCUUCAUGA
This 505-nucleotide long non-coding RNA is filed under the name Pavo cristatus (Indian peafowl). RNAcentral describes it as "lncRNA (ENSPSTG00000011914.1)". Lineage: Eukaryota; Metazoa; Chordata; Aves; Galliformes; Phasianidae. The record is from RNAcentral.